UACGGAGGGUGCAAGCGUUGCUCGGAAUUAUUGGGCGUAAAGGGUAGGUAGGUGGUCUCAUUUGUCUGGGGUGAAAUCCUUGAGCUUAACUCAAGAAGUGCCCCAGAAACGGUGGGACUAGAGUCCUGGAGAGGGUCGUGGAAUUCCCGGUGUAGCGGUGAAAUGCGUAGAGAUCGGGAGGAACACCAGAGGCGAAGGCGGCGACCUGGACAGGAACUGACACUCAACUACGAAAGCGUGGGGAGCAAAACAGG
Molecule: ribosomal RNA, 254 nt
Filed under: uncultured bacterium
Lineage: Bacteria
Description: partial 16S ribosomal RNA
Rfam family: Bacterial small subunit ribosomal RNA
Source: RNAcentral